RNAcentral lists this ribosomal RNA (541 nucleotides) under Bifidobacterium breve. Its description in RNAcentral is "bacterial SSU rRNA". It matches the Rfam family "Bacterial small subunit ribosomal RNA", at positions 160 to 711 of the family's 1533-position model. Lineage: Bacteria; Bacillati; Actinomycetota; Actinomycetes; Bifidobacteriales; Bifidobacteriaceae. The record is from RNAcentral.
GUGGUAAUGCCGGAUGCUCCAUCACACUGCAUGGUGUGUUGGGAAAGCCUUUGCGGCAUGGGAUGGGGUCGCGUCCUAUCAGCUUGAUGGCGGGGUAACGGCCCACCAUGGCUUCGACGGGUAGCCGGCCUGAGAGGGCGACCGGCCACAUUGGGACUGAGAUACGGCCCAGACUCCUACGGGAGGCAGCAGUGGGGAAUAUUGCACAAUGGGCGCAAGCCUGAUGCAGCGACGCCGCGUGAGGGAUGGAGGCCUUCGGGUUGUAAACCUCUUUUGUUAGGGAGCAAGGCAUUUUGUGUUGAGUGUACCUUUCGAAUAAGCACCGGCUAACUACGUGCCAGCAGCCGCGGUAAUACGUAGGGUGCAAGCGUUAUCCGGAAUUAUUGGGCGUAAAGGGCUCGUAGGCGGUUCGUCGCGUCCGGUGUGAAAGUCCAUCGCUUAACGGUGGAUCCGCGCCGGGUACGGGCGGGCUUGAGUGCGGUAGGGGAGACUGGAAUUCCCGGUGUAACGGUGGAAUGUGUAGAUAUCGGAAAGAACACCA